CUUCUAAAUGUGCAAAACUGACCAUACUAAACCAGAAAUGAGCUGCUUCAUAUAUUUCUAUUCAACAUAAAGCCUUGGGAGUUAGAGGAAGGUUGAUACUGAUAUUUUUACCUGAUGAGGGUUACUGAGGGUACCUGGGAAGGACCGACUGCAGCUCCUGAGCUAUAAAUCAGACUUUUACCAUGACUUUUUGUCUUAAGAGUGGCACAGAUGAAGAACAGUAAAAAUCUAUUUAGAGUCCUUAAGUUGCCAGAAUGGAAUCUGUAUGCAUUGAGUAAACAUGAGUAGUUAAAAGAUGCCAGUAAGAAUGUAAUCUCUUUCAAGAUGAGAGGCACGCUUUGUGUCUUGUGCAUCUUUUCCCAAACUAAUUUGGAGAGCCCAAAUAUCUAUUUCAUAUGUAGAAGAUAACCAUAACUAUUUGUUAUUUUCAGGAAAGGGUUGCUGGAAUAACAGAUGUGCCAGAUCUUAAAACCAGAAGUUUUGUCUUUCACCUUCAUCAUGUUUAGUAAGGAUAUGAGACUUGGUGGUUUUGAGACUCCUCCUGAAUCCCACGAAGAUAUUUUAGGUUGCUGAAGGGGAUGCAUUGGUUCUGACACUGAGCAACAGCUAAGGGAAGAGUAGAAAAGGAGAACUACUUCAGUCUCUUCCUCUCCAGGCUCAUUAGCAGAAGACACUGUCUUCGUGGUAUGUUCACUGAAAGAAUGAUUCCUCUACCCAAACCCUAAUUUUCCAGGCAGAUGGUGCCUAUGCAAAUGUUCUUGUUUUUAGAGGUAGCACUGCUCUUUGAUCUAGACUGUUCCAUUUCUCAGAUUUAUCAUCUGCAGGCUUAUGGUUUAGGAGAAUAAAUACUCUGAAUCAGAUCA
RNAcentral lists this long non-coding RNA (863 nucleotides) under Numida meleagris (helmeted guineafowl). Its description in RNAcentral is "lncRNA (ENSNMEG00000011144.1)". The record is from RNAcentral. Lineage: Eukaryota; Metazoa; Chordata; Aves; Galliformes; Numididae.